This 325-nucleotide long non-coding RNA is filed under the name Eucalyptus grandis. RNAcentral's name for it is "long non-coding RNA (EGRA_LNC006549)". The record is from RNAcentral. Lineage: Eukaryota; Viridiplantae; Streptophyta; Magnoliopsida; Myrtales; Myrtaceae.
UAGGAAAGUAACAGGACCUGAGUGAGAAGCCGGUUCUUAGCGAUCAGCCAUAAGAUAAACUAAUACCGCAGGAUGAUGGUGUUGCUCCAAAUGAAUGCACUCCAAGGCACCAAGGCCUUCUUUAAUAUGAUGGUUUCCCACGCAAAAGCUACAAAGAGCAAGCCUGAAGGGUUCUUCAUUCUCCACAACUGGUCUGGCCUUUGAUAUAAAAUGGGGAGUGGAGUCCCCAAGAGUCUAGAACAGUCCUGAGGGAUUGUUUGGGAAUGAAGUAGAGGUCCACCACCUUUGCAAGCCUAGAUAAACCCGAGCUAUAAAUGAGAGUCCG